GGUAGUCCACGCUGUAACGGAUGUCGAUUUGGAGUUUGUUGCCUAGAGUGAUGGGCUCCGAAGCUAACGCGAUUAAUCGACCGCCUGGGGAGUACGGCCGCAAGGUUAAAACUCAAAUGAAUUGACGGGGGCCCGCACAAGCGGUGGAGCAUGUGGUUUAAUUCGAUGCAACGCGAAGAACCUUACCUGGUCUUGACAUCCAUAGAAUUCUGCAGAGAUGUGGGAGUGCCUUCGGGAACUAUGAGACAGGUGCUGCAUGGCUGUCGUCAGCUCGUGUUGUGAAAUGUUGGGUUAAGUCCCGCAACGAGCGCAACCCUUAUUCUUUGUUGCCAGCGAUUUGGUCGGGAACUCAAAGGAGACUGCCGUUGAUAAAGCGGAGGAAGGUGGGGACGACGUCAAGUCAUCAUGGCCCUUACGACCAGGGCUACACACGUGCUACAAUGGCGUAUACAAAGGGAAGCGAAGGUGCGAGCUGGAGCGGAUCUCAUAAAGUACGUCUAAGUUCGGAUUGGAGUCUGCAGCUCGACUCCAUGAAGUCGGAAUCGCUGGUAAUCGUAGAUCAGAAUGCUACGGUGAAUACGUUCCCGGGCCUUGUACACACCGCCCGUCACACCAUGGGAGUGGGUUGCACCAGAAGUAGAUAGCUUAACCGCGAGGGGGGCGUUUACCACGGUGUGAUUCAUGACUGGGGUGAAGUCGUAACAAGGUAACCA
RNAcentral lists this ribosomal RNA (713 nucleotides) under uncultured Enterobacteriaceae bacterium. RNAcentral's name for it is "bacterial SSU rRNA". It matches the Rfam family "Bacterial small subunit ribosomal RNA", at positions 789 to 1502 of the family's 1533-position model. Lineage: Bacteria; Pseudomonadati; Pseudomonadota; Gammaproteobacteria; Enterobacterales; Enterobacteriaceae. The record is from RNAcentral.